This 404-nucleotide ribosomal RNA is filed under the name Actinomycetes bacterium. RNAcentral describes it as "Actinobacteria bacterium partial 16S ribosomal RNA". It matches the Rfam family "Bacterial small subunit ribosomal RNA", at positions 355 to 776 of the family's 1533-position model. The record is from RNAcentral. Lineage: Bacteria; Bacillati; Actinomycetota; Actinomycetes.
UGGGGAAUAUUGGACAAUGGGCGCAAGCCUGAUCCAGCCAUGCCGCGUGAGUGAUGAAGGCCCUAGGGUUGUAAAGCUCUUUCACCGGUGAAGAUAAUGACGGUAACCGGAGAAGAAGCCCCGGCUAACUUCGUGCCCGCAGCCGCGGUAAUACGAAGGGGGCUAGCGUUGUUCGGAUUUACUGGGCGUAAAGCGCACGUAGGCGGACUAUUAAGUCAGGGGUGAAAUCCCGGGGCUCAACCCCGGAACUGCCUUUGAUACUGGUAGUCUUGAGUUCGAGAGAGGUGAGUGGAAUUCCGAGUGUAGAAGUGAAAUUCGUAGAUAUUCGGAGGAGCACCAGUGGCGAAGGCGGCUCACUGGCUCGAUACUGACGCUGUGGUGCGAGAGCGUGGGGAGCAAACAGG